RNAcentral lists this ribosomal RNA (253 nucleotides) under uncultured bacterium. RNAcentral describes it as "partial 16S ribosomal RNA". It matches the Rfam family "Bacterial small subunit ribosomal RNA", at positions 524 to 776 of the family's 1533-position model. The record is from RNAcentral.
UACGGAGGGGGCUAGCGUUGUUCGGAAUUACUGGGCGUAAAGCGCACGUAGGCGGCUACUCAAGUCAGAGGUGAAAGCCCGGAGCUCAACUCCGGAACUGCCUUUGAAACUAGGUAGCUUGAACACGGGAGAGGUGAGUGGAAUUCCGAGUGUAGAGGUGAAAUUCGUAGAUAUUCGGAAGAACACCAGUGGCGAAGGCGGCUCACUGGACCGUUGUUGACGCUGAGGUGCGAAAGCGUGGGGAGCAAACAGG